CCNGUGCUUUCCAUGGGGCCACCAUCACCUG
RNAcentral lists this non-coding RNA (31 nucleotides) under Mus musculus (house mouse). The record is from RNAcentral. Lineage: Eukaryota; Metazoa; Chordata; Mammalia; Rodentia; Muridae.